AGUGAACGCUGGCGGUAGGCCUAACACAUGCAAGUCGAACGGCAGCACAGUAAGAGCUUGCUCUUACGGGUGGCGAGUGGCGGACGGGUGAGGAAUACAUCGGAAUCUACUUUUUCGUGGGGGAUAACGUAGGGAAACUUACGCUAAUACCGCAUACGACCUACGGGUGAAAGCAGGGGAUCUUCGGACCUUGCGCGAUUGAAUGAGCCGAUGUCGGAUUAGCUAGUUGGCGGGGUAAAGGCCCACCAAGGCGACGAUCCGUAGCUGGUCUGAGAGGAUGAUCAGCCACACUGGAACUGAGACACGGUCCAGACGCCUACGGGAGGCAGCAGUGGGGAAUAUUGGACAAUGGGCGCAAGCCUGAUCCAGCCAUACCGCGUGGGUGAAGAAGGCCUUCGGGUUGUAAAGCCCUUUUGUUGGGAAAGAACAGCAGCAGGUUAAUACCCCGCUGUUCUGACGGUACCCAAAGAAUAAGCACCGGCUAACUUCGUG
This 492-nucleotide ribosomal RNA is filed under the name uncultured bacterium. RNAcentral's name for it is "partial 16S ribosomal RNA". It matches the Rfam family "Bacterial small subunit ribosomal RNA", at positions 29 to 507 of the family's 1533-position model. The record is from RNAcentral.